UACGAAGGGGGCUAGCGUUGCUCGGAAUUACUGGGCGUAAAGCGCACGUAGGCGGAUCUUUAAGUCAGGGGUGAAAUCCUGGAGCUCAACUCCAGAACUGCCUUUGAUACUGAGGGUCUUGAGUUCGGGAGAGGUGAGUGGAACUGCGAGUGUAGAGGUGAAAUUCGUAGAUAUUCGCAAGAACACCAGUGGCGAAGGCGGCUCACUGGCCCGAUACUGACGCUGAGGCACGAAAGCGUGGGGAGCAAACAGG
This 253-nucleotide ribosomal RNA is filed under the name uncultured bacterium. Its description in RNAcentral is "partial 16S ribosomal RNA". It matches the Rfam family "Bacterial small subunit ribosomal RNA", at positions 524 to 776 of the family's 1533-position model. The record is from RNAcentral.